UAUAGCAAUAGCUACUUGCAUCAUCAUUUUCUCAUUUUCUUCUUCUUUUUCUCAUUAUCAGAGAAAAAUCAGAAGAAAAGUAGAGAAAAGUAAAGAUGAUGCAAGAUCGACUAUGUCGAAUAAAAUUCUAGGUAGAAUUAUGAUAAUGACAUUGUCUGCCUAUGUGUCUUGACCAAAUUACGUGCCAGCAGUCGCGGUAAUACGUAGAAGACUAGUGUUAUUCAUGUUUAAUCGGUUUAAAGGGUACCUAGACGGUAAAUCAAGCUUUCAAAGAAAAAAAUAAAGAGAAUUAAAGGACUAAUUUACUAGAGUUACUUAUGAGGGGGUAUUAAAGUACUGCUGGUGUAGAGAUGAAAUUCUGUCAUACCUCUUUUCAAAAGAAAAAUGAUGGCACAGGUAUAGGCGAAGGCAUCCCCUUAUGUGAUAACUGACGUUGAGGGACGAAGGCUUUGUGUAGCGAACAGGAUUAGAUACCCCAGUAGUCGAAGCAGAAAAUGAUGAAUGUCAUAGAUUAGAUAUAUAAGUUUAUUCUAUAAAUGAAAGUGUAAGCAUUCCACCUCAUGAGUAAUUUGGCAACAUUGGAACUGAAAUCAUUAGACCGUUUCUGAAACCAGUAGUGAAGUAUGUUGUUUAAUUUGAUGAUCCGCAAAAAACCUUACCACAAUUUGAAUAUUUAUAUUUUUUAUUGUUUUCUUAUUAAUUUCUUUUACUUUUCUUCUGAAGAAGAAAAUGAGAAAAUUAAUAAAGAGGCAAUAAGAUAUAUUUACAAGCGUUGCACGGCUGUCUUCAGUUAAUGUCGCGAGACUUUGGUUAGUUCCAUUAAAUUAACGUAAACCCUUACUUUAUUUUUAUAUAGAGUAGUUCCCCGCUAUAUUGGAUAUGAUAACAGGGACUAAGACAAGUCAUCAUGGCCUAAAUAUUGU
RNAcentral lists this ribosomal RNA (923 nucleotides) under Parmelia barrenoae. RNAcentral's name for it is "SSU rRNA". It matches the Rfam family "Bacterial small subunit ribosomal RNA", at positions 1 to 1210 of the family's 1533-position model. Lineage: Eukaryota; Fungi; Ascomycota; Lecanoromycetes; Lecanorales; Parmeliaceae. The record is from RNAcentral.